CCCAAAACUGAACACAGUACUCCAGAUAAGUGCUGAGCAGAGAGGUACUAUCACUGUCUGUGUCUUGUACCUAAAGCUUCUAUUGAUGUAUCCCAAAACAGCAUUUGCCUUUUGUGUGUCUGCAUCACACUGCACACUCUU
Molecule: long non-coding RNA, 141 nt
Organism: Gavialis gangeticus (Gharial)
Lineage: Eukaryota; Metazoa; Chordata; Crocodylia; Gavialidae
Exons: 3
Source: RefSeq, a predicted model, not a curated record